Molecule: long non-coding RNA, 955 nt
Organism: Spinacia oleracea (spinach)
Lineage: Eukaryota; Viridiplantae; Streptophyta; Magnoliopsida; Caryophyllales; Amaranthaceae
Exons: 3
Source: RefSeq, a predicted model, not a curated record
AAUCUAAAAGUUAUCUAUUUACUAAAAUGCUCCCAUGUAUUCACAGAAUUGGAAAACCAGGUUCUUGAACCCCUUUCUUCUCCCUCUUUCGUGUCACCAUUUCAAUGAAGCUCAAACCCAUGACUAUCCAUGUGUCUCUACUAAUUCAUUCUCUUUGCUAAUUCAUCAAACCUAUUUACCUAAAACUAGACUAGCUAAUCCUAAUCACCAAUUUAUUAACUCAAAUCUCUUACCCUUGUCUCUACCAACAAUCUGAGUUUUUGCAUCCAUGGAGCACCAUGUCCCUAUAAAUAGCUGCUCAAUCAUCCCAAAAAACAAUACAAUUCAAAUUAACUUUUAAUUUCUAAAACCACCAUUAAAAGCCCUAUUGAACAAAUUCAAUUUAUGGAAUCACCACCAUUUUUGCCGCUCAACCCCGCCGGAAAAUCACCACUGUCUCUCACCUUCUGUCAGAAACCACCGUGACCAAUCACCCCCAAACUCAGACCACCAAGCGACACCUAUCAAUAACCAAAGCUUGUCUCCCUCCUCGUGUGGCUGUAAUUCGCCCUCCUCUGCGCACGAGCAUCAAUUCCCACCAGUCGCCGUCGACGUUUCGCCACCACCCACCUUCACCCGGAAAUCCUACCGCCUCUUUUGUGCGGGUCCCGAUCAGAAGCUGUCCGAUCAGUAACCUGCUCUCUUUCUCCCUUCUUUGUUUCUCGGCUUUACAAACUAUCUCGAUCCUCGGAGCUCAGGAAGGACGAUAAUCAAGGCUACAGAAAAAGUCUAGCCAAUCACGAAUAGAGGUGCCGACCAGGACGGUGGAUGCGAUUAGUGGCAAGGAUUUUGUCUUAUUAGGGCUCACCUAGUUUAAACUUAAUUUGUACUAAGUUCGAGUAAGAAUUUUCUACUAAGUUAUGUAAGUCACUUUUGAAUAUUAAUAUAGAACAUAGUUAUAUAAAAGUAUUAUGAG